CAUGAGUCUCAUAGACAAGAAGGACAACACACUGGGCCGAGUGAAAGACUUGGACACAGAGAAGUAUUUCCAUUUGGUGCUGCCUACGGAUGAGCUGGCGGAGCCCAAGAAGUCUCACCGGCAGAGCCAUCGCAAGAAGGUGCUCCCGGAAAUCUACCUGACCCGCCUGCUCUCCACCAAGGGCACGUUGCAGAAGUUUCUGGAUGACCUGUUCAAGGCCAUUCUGAGUAUCCGUGAAGACAAGCCCCCACUGGCUGUCAAGUACUUUUUCGACUUCCUGGAGGAGCAGGCUGAGAAGAGGGGAAUCUCCGACCCCGACACCCUACACAUCUGGAAGACCAACAGGUGGCGGGUGGGGGGCCGUGUGGACUUCACUGUGCCACUGGGGCCCCUGUGGCAGGGGGUUCAGAGUCUAGUCUUCUGGCCUCGCCUGCU
RNAcentral lists this long non-coding RNA (435 nucleotides) under Pan troglodytes (chimpanzee). RNAcentral describes it as "long non-coding RNA NONPTRT012095". The record is from RNAcentral. Lineage: Eukaryota; Metazoa; Chordata; Mammalia; Primates; Hominidae.